Molecule: ribosomal RNA, 253 nt
Filed under: uncultured bacterium
Lineage: Bacteria
Description: partial 16S ribosomal RNA
Rfam family: Bacterial small subunit ribosomal RNA
Source: RNAcentral
UACGUAGGCCGCGAGCGUUGUUCGGAGUUAUUGGGCGUAAAGCGUGCGUAGGCGGCGUUUUAAGUUUGUUGUGAAAUCUCCCGGCUUAACCGGGAGGGUGCGGCGAAUACUGAGAUGCUGGAGUGCCGGAGAGGUAAGCGGAAUUCCUGGUGUAGCGGUGAAAUGCGUAGAUAUCAGGAGGAACACCUGCGGUGUAGACGGCUUACUGGACGGUAACUGACGCUGAGGCACGAAAGCGUGGGUAGCAAACAGG